GUGAAUCAUCAAAUUUUUGAACGCAAAUUGCACUUUCUGUAUUCCGGAAAGUAUUCCUUUUUGAGGGUCAGUUAAAUUUAAAUCGGUGUUGUUGCUUCCCGUAGUUGUGUGUUAUGCCUCGGAAUUUAGUCGUUCUUUACCUUUGGUUUAAGUUACUUAAAAUUAUGUUUGAUUUUUUAACGUAUUUAAAUUAUUACUUACGUUCGUAAUAUCACCUAUUAGGUUCGGUCAUUCACAUUAUUUCGCGUCUAUAAUUUUUCAUUAUUUGACCUCAAAUUAGGUAAGAAUACCCGCUGAACUU
This 301-nucleotide unclassified non-coding RNA is filed under the name Glomus sp. RNAcentral describes it as "partial contains 5.8S ribosomal RNA, internal transcribed spacer 2, and large subunit ribosomal RNA". The stretch from base 1 to 70 matches the Rfam family "5.8S ribosomal RNA", at positions 84 to 154 of the family's 154-position model. The record is from RNAcentral. Lineage: Eukaryota; Fungi; Glomeromycota; Glomeromycetes; Glomerales; Glomeraceae.